This 406-nucleotide ribosomal RNA is filed under the name uncultured bacterium. RNAcentral's name for it is "partial 16S ribosomal RNA". It matches the Rfam family "Bacterial small subunit ribosomal RNA", at positions 29 to 526 of the family's 1533-position model. The record is from RNAcentral.
AUUGAACGCUGGCGGCAGGCCUAACACAUGCAAGUCGAGCGAGCGGCGGACGGGUGCGUAAGGUCUGGGAAACUGCCUGAUGGAGGGGGAUAACUACUGGAAACGGCAGCUAAUACCGCAUACCAUCAGAUCUGCCCAGAUGGGAUUAGCUGGUGGGUGGGGUAACGGCUCACCUAGGCGACGAUCCCUAGCUGGUCUGAGAGGAUGACCAGCCACACUGGAACGGAGACACGGGCCAAACUCCUACGUGAGGCAGCAGUGGGGAAUAUUGCACAAGGGGCGCAAGCCUGAUGCGGCCAUGCCGCGUGUGUGAAGAAGGCCUUCGGGUUGUAAAGCCCUUUCAGCGGGGAGGCGUUACCCGCAGAGGAAGCACCGGCUAACUCCGUGCCAGCCGCCGCGGUAAUUC